Oncorhynchus keta (chum salmon) is the source of this 3660-nucleotide long non-coding RNA. RefSeq lists it as uncharacterized. NCBI's taxonomy places the organism in Eukaryota, Metazoa, Chordata, Actinopteri, Salmoniformes, Salmonidae. The record is from RefSeq and is a predicted model, not a curated record. The transcript has 3 exons.
UGUGGUCCUACAGGCCAGGUGACCUCUGACAGCAUGACAGUCACACCAGUGGAGAGUUCAGCACCAGCAGGGACCAAACAGUCCAUUUCCCAGCCGUCCUCACAGAAAGUAUCCGACCCGAGGUUCGAUGCUCCUAAGCCGUCCCAGAAGAAGAAGAGCCGGAAAGAGACAGGAAGUUAAGAAACAAGAACCAACAUGAAUUAUUAUGCAAAAGGAUUGUUCGAUGUGUUAUAAAUGCAAUCAAUAAUUUGCAAGUACAGACUUUUAUACACAAUAGUUUGACUGUACUUUUUAAAUAUCCCAAAAAAAGAGAGAGAACAGCUUAUUUAGCUGGGGACUGGGGACUGGUCCUAUCAGCCUAAUCUAACCUAUUUACACUAAAUGCUACACUGAAGUGGAAUAGGAGGUUUAGGAGGGAGGUUGUUAACUUGCGGUGAGGUAGAAGUUUGUGAAUUAUUCAAAAGUAGCCUGUGUACCGGAGUCCUAGCUAGCUAGCCGGUACAGUGUCGCCCCACCUUCCACCUGUGUACCGGAGUCCUAGCUAGCUAGCUGGUACAGUGUCGCCCCACCUUCCACCUGUGUACCGGAGUCCUAGCUAGCUAGCUGGUACAGUGUCGCCCCACCUUCCACCUGUGUACCGGAGUCCUAGCUAGCUAGCUGGUACAGUGUCGCCCCACCUUCCACCUGUGUACCGGAGUCCUAGCUAGCUAGCUAGUAAAGUGUUACCCCCCACCUCCUGCCUGUGUACCGGAGUCCGAGCUAGCUAGCUGGUACAGUGUCGCCCCCCAUCUCCUGCCUGUGUACCGGAGUCCUAGCUAGCUAACUCGUACAGUGUCGCCCCCCCACCUCCUGCCUGUUUACCGGAGUCCUAGCUAGCUAGCUCGUACAGUGUCGCCCCCCACCUCCUGCCUGUGUCCCGGAGUCCUAGCUAGCUGGUACAGUGUGCCCCCCCACCUCCUGCCUGUGUACCGGAGUCCUAGCUAGCUAGCUCGUACAGUGUUGCCCCCCCCACCUCCCGCCUGUGUACCGGGGUCCUAGCUAGCUAGCUCGUACAGUGUUACCCCCACCUCCUGCCUGUGUACCGGAGUCCUAGCUAGCUAGCUCGUACAGUGUUGCCCCCCCCACCUCCCGCCUGUGUACCGGGGUCCUAGCUUAAAUAUGGACCAAUUGAAGUAUAAAGAGGGGUGAAGAUAUGAAGUACUUAGACACCAGUAGAGACAGUAUGAGACAUGAAGUACUUCCAGACACCAGUAGAGACAGUAUAAGACAUGAAGUACUUCCAGACACCAGUAGGGACAGUAUGAGACAUUAAGUACUUCCAGACACCAGUAGGGACAGUAUGAGACAUGAAGUACUUCCAGACACCAGUAGAGACAGUAUGAGACAUUAAGUACUUCCAGACACCAGUAGGGACAGUAUGACAGGAAGUACUUCCAGACACCAGUAGAGACAGUAUGAGACAUUAAGUACUUCCAGACACCAGUAGAGACAGUAUGAGACAUUAAGUACUUCCAGACACCAGUAGAGACAGUAUGAGACAGGAAGUACUUCGACACCAGUAGGGACAGUAUGAGACAUUAAGUACUUCCAGACACCAGUAGAGACAGUAUGAGACAUUAAGUACUUCCAGACACCAGUAGAGACAGUAUGAGACAUUAAGUACUUCCAGACACCAGUAGAGACAGUAUGAGACAUUAAGUACUUCCAGACACCAGUAGGGACAGUAUGAGACAUGAAGUACUUCCAGACACCAGUAGAGACAGUAUGAGACAUGAAGUACUUCCAGACACCAGUAGAGACAGUAUGAGACAUGAAGUACUUCCAGACACCAGUAGGGACAGUAUGAGACAUGAAGUACUUCCAGACACCAGUAGAGACAGUAUGAGACAUGAAGUACUUCCAGACACCAGUAGAGACAGUAUGAGACAUUAAGUACUUCCAGACACCAGUAGAGACAGUAUGAGACAUGAAGUACUUCCAGACACCAGUAGAGACAGUAUGAGACAUUAAGUACUUCCAGACACCAGUAGAGACAGUAUGAGACAUGAAGUACUUCCAGACACCAGUAGAGACAGUAUGAGACAUUAAGUACUUCCAGACACCAGUAGAGACAGUAUGAGACAUGAAGUACUUCCAGACACCAGUAGAGACAGUAUGAGACAUGAAGUACUUCCAGACACCAGUAGGGACAGUAUGAGACAUGAAGUACUUCCAGACACCAGUAGAGACAGUAUGAGACAUGAAGUACUUCCAGACACCAGUAGAGACAGUAUGAGACAUUAAGUACUUCCAGACACCAGUAGAGACAGUAUGAGACAUGAAGUACUUCCAGACACCAGUAGAGACAGUAUGAGACAUUAAGUACUUCCAGACACCAGUAGAGACAGUAUGAGACAUGAAGUACUUCCAGACACCAGUAGAGACAGUAUGAGACAUGAAGUACUUCCAGACACCAGUAGAGACAGUAUGAGACAUGAAGUACUUCCAGACACCAGUAGAGACAGUAUGAGACAUUAAGUACUUCCAGACACCAGUAGAGACAGUAUGAGACAUGAAGUACUUCCAGACACCAGUAGAGACAGUAUGAGACAUUAAGUACUUCCAGACACCAGUAGAGACAGUAUGAGACAUGAAGUACUUCCAGACACCAGUAGAGACAGUAUGAGACAUUAAGUACUUCCAGACACCAGUAUGAGACAGGAAGUACUUAGACACCAGUAGUAUUGUGCUCUGCUGUGUAUGAGAGGGUUCUUAUCUUAACCUCUUUUCUUCCAUCCUAUCUGGUGGGAAAAGACCGUGCCAUAUGUACAGAACACAAGGGCUUUUCCUAAUGUGUCAUUUUUCUGGGAUUGAUUGCACUGUCAGGCUGGAUCCUAUAUGUUAUCUUUGUCUUUUCAUGAUUGUUUUUUAAAAAGACCGUUUAGCAGAAUGUGAAGGUAAAAUUCCUGGUUGUGACUUUAGUUGGAAGUCAAUGUGCUGAUAAGGGAUGGGGAGGCUGGGGUGGGGAGGUACUGAAGAUGAGACGGUGUGUGAAGCAGCUUUAAUUCCAUGUCAGUCAUUUUAAAGGUAUCAGGAACUGAAUUGUAUUGCCUUAACCUGUAGUAUAUUAGUAUGUGCAUUUAUUUACAUCUCUUUUGUGAUAGUUUUCAGAUCAAGGGCUGGAGAGUUACCGCAUCCAUCCUAUUGCAAGUUUGGUUCUAAAAAAAAUGCAUUUAGUCUCUUGACUGACGACCGUACUCAUACAGUAUGAUUUAAAGAAUGGGCGGGUUACUACUUCUGAUUGGUACUUUAUCACUCACUGUAUAUAGCCUUGAAUGAGCGGAAGGACUGGGCUUGAGGGCUGACAGCCUGCCUACGCUUUAGCUGAAAUCAAAUGGACUGUAUUAUUGGUAGCUUUUGAGUGUGUAAAGAAGAGCGUUGCCGAAUGGAGGCUCUCAGCUCAGUGUUUUACAGCCCAUAGUUCUCUGUAGACUAGAUCAGUCAAGUCUGGUGGCGCUGCACUCACCUGACUCUCUCUGUUGAUCAUUAACCUUUUUAAAAGAUGAUUCAAUCAUGUAUUUAUACCUUCUCCUUUAGAAGAAUGAUUUAAGAAUGAUUUUGUUUAUGAAGAAAUGCAAUGAUUUUUCAAGGUUUGUUGAAAUAAAACAAUAUAACUCCUAA